UUUUUUUGUUUGUUUGUUUUUUUGGCCCAGCAAUGUGCUGAUGGUUGAUUCUGAGAACAAGAGGACUCAGGGAAAACUGAUUUGAAGGUGUAAAUCAAGAGUUCUGUUUUGGGAGUUCCCGUCGUGGCGCAGUGGUUAACGAAUCCGACUAGGAACCAUGAGGUUGCGGGUUCGGUCCCUGCCCUUGCUCAGUGGGUUAACGAUCCGGCGUUGCCGUGAGCUGUGGUGUAGGUUGCAGACGCGGUUUGGAUCCCGCGUUGCUGUGGCUCUAGCGUAGGCCGGUGGCUACAGCUCCGAUUCAACCCCUAGCCUGGGAACCUCCAUAUGCCGGCGGGAGCGGCCCAAGAAAUAGCAACAAUAAUAACAACAACAACAACAACAACAACAACAAAAAGACAAAAAAAAAAAAAAAAAGAGUUCUGUUUUGGCCACAUUAAGUUUGAGAUGCUAAUUAAACAUCCAUAUGGAAAGGGAGUAGGCAAUUGGAUGUGUGUAUCUAAGCCCCAGGGAGAGGUCAGACUCAGACAGAAACUUGGGAGCCAGCACCAUGUGGAUGGUCUUUAUUUAUUUAUUUAUUUUUAUUUUUUUAUUUUUUGUAUGUGGAUGGUCUUUUAAAAAGCAUAGAGGAGGCGUUCCCGUAGUGGCUCAGUCAGUGGUUAAUAAACCCAACUAGCAUCCGUGAGGAUGCAAGUUCGAUCCCUGGCCUGGCUCAGUGGGUUACAGAUCUGGCAUUGUCAUGAGCUGUGGUGUAGGUUGCAGUUGCAGCUUGGUGUUGCUGUGGCUGUGGUGUAUCUGACUUGAUUGCUACCUUGGAAACUUCCAUAUACCGAGGGUAUGGCCGUAAAAAGAUAAACAAAAACAGUCCUUGCUCCCAGGGAGCUUCUGUCUCUAGGGAGAUAGGAAGAUGCACUUGAGCUCCCGUAUACUGAUAUGUACUGCAACAGUGAUAAACACAGGACACCCGGCAGUGUAGAGCUCCUUCCUGGGCUGUGUUUUGCAGAAGAAUUGAAAAAACAAGAGGAAAACAGGCUGAGAGGAUCACAGGCGCAAAGGAGAGUCAACUGACUGUAGGGCUUUCAGGAUGGCUGGGGCCUAGAGGGCUGAAACAAAGGGGCACCCCGUGCAGGGAGGCUCGGGGGCCAGAACUGACUGUCACAGGCAUCAGAAAGGUUACUUAAGGUGAGCCUGAAAAGAGUCUGUUGAAUUUGGCAACCUGGGAGUAUUUAUUUUUGCCAGAAUAAUUUUAGCCAUGUUCAAGGCGCUGUGGGGAGAGAAAUCAGACCGUGAGUAACCAGGAGGUAAGGAAUUAGACACACCAAGAACAGAGAUCGUUCCUUGAAGGGAAAGGAAGGAGAAAGUGCGUGAUGAUAAGGUUGCUGGGGUUGAGGGUGGGCAUGGGGCUGGGUUUUUUUCUUUUUCUUUCUUUUUUUUUUAGCUUUUGAGGGCUGCAGGCUGGGGGUCAGAUCGGAGCUGUAGCGGCCGGCCUACUCCACAGCUACAGCAAUGCAGGGUCCGAGCCGCAUCUGCGACCUACACCACCGCUCACAGCAACGCUGGAUCCUUCACCCACUGAGUGAGGUCAGGGAUCCAACUCACAUCCUCACAGAGACUAGUCAGGUUCUUGACCCACUGAACCAUGACAGGAACGCCUGUUUUGUUUUGUUUUGUUUUUAGUUGUUCUACCAUUAAAAAAAUAGUAUACAUCUUGGAGUUCCCGUCGUGGUGCAGUGGCUAACGAAUCUGACUAAGAACCAUGAGGUUGCGGGUUCGAUCCCUGGCCUUGCUCAGUAGGUUGGGGAUCUGGGGUUGCCGUGAGCUGUGGUGCAGAUCGAAGUCUGUGAGCUGUGGUGCAGAUCGAAGUCGCGCCUUGGAUCCCGCGUUGCUGUAGCUCUGGCAUAGGCCGGCGGUUACAGCUCUGAUUAGACCCCCAGCCUGGUAACACCCAUAUACUGCAGGAGCAGCCCUAGAAAAGACAAAAAAAAAAAAAAAAAAAAAAAAAAGUAUACAUCUUGAACUUUGUUAUAGGCUUGAGGGAAAGAGGUGGAAAAGAGGGAAAGCUUGAAAAUGUAAAAGUUCCCUAGUGGCUCAGUGGGUUAAGGACCCAGCACUGUCACUGCUGUGGUGUGGGUUCAAUCCCUGUCCUGGGAGCUUCCACAUGCCAUGAGCAUGGCCAAAUAAAUAAAUAUAUAUAGGAGAAGAGGUAAUUGAUGGAGUGAAAUUUCUGAGGCACUGGUAAGGGCUGGACACUUGUAAGGAUGAGACAUGAAAAAGUUUAGUUUUGGACAGGAGGUAAGAGAGGUGCAUGCAUAGAAAUAAAGAUAAGGUUGCAACAGGGCAUAGGGAGAUGGAAGUGAAGGUGUGCUGGUUAAGGCUGUGCUUUUCUAAUGGUCCUUAUUUUCUCUUGAAAUUUAUGAUGGGUCUGCUGCUGAGAGUGACUGUAGACACAGCAAAAGAUUGUGAAGGCGGGAGAGCAAGAAUGAUAGAGGCGUUGAUUUAUUUAAUUCCUACAAUGGCUUGGUAUGUUAUUUUCUGGGCAUUGGAGCAGAAACAGGUUGGCAGGUUAAUCCAGACUGGAGUUUUCAGUGUGGGUACAGCUAAGGACAGGUGGACCUGGACAUUGGUAAGGGAGGGAUUGAAGCAACAAGCCUUGAGUUUGGGCUGAAUGCUGCAGGAAGUGAAACAAGACUUUUGGUGACAGAUUAGGAGGAAACUCAAGGGGCUGAAGGUACUGUAGGAAGGCAAGGAACAGGUGUAAAGGGAAGAAGGGAAUGAGGGUAUUGAAGGGACCAAAACUUUAUUUUUUUUGUCUUUUUGCCUUUUCUAGGGCUGCACCUGCGGCGUAUAGAGGUUCCCAGGCUAGGGGUCUAAUCAGAGCUCUUGCUGCUGGCCUACACCAGAGCCACCGCAACUCGGGAUCUGAGUCACAUCUGUGACCUACACCACAGCUCAUGGCAAUGCCGGAUCCUUAACCCACUGAGUGAGGCCAGGGAUCGAACCUGAAACCUCAUGGUUCCCAGUCGGAUUUGUUAACCACUGAGCCACGACGGGAACUCCCCGAGACCAGAAGUGUGGUCAGAAAGUAGAGUAUCGGAGUUUAUGUUUUCCGAGUUUAGAGCAAAUCUGAGUU
This 3127-nucleotide long non-coding RNA is filed under the name Sus scrofa (pig). RNAcentral describes it as "lncRNA (ENSSSCG00065059755.1)". The stretch from base 2075 to 2148 matches the Rfam family "tRNA". The record is from RNAcentral. Lineage: Eukaryota; Metazoa; Chordata; Mammalia; Artiodactyla; Suidae.